RNAcentral lists this transfer RNA (64 nucleotides) under Bathothauma lyromma. RNAcentral describes it as "tRNA-His". The record is from RNAcentral. Lineage: Eukaryota; Metazoa; Mollusca; Cephalopoda; Oegopsida; Cranchiidae.
GUGAGGUUAGUUUAACAUAAAAAUAACAAAUUGUGGGUUUGUAGAUAAAUUUUUUUACCUUACU